CUGAUGAGGGGCAUAGAACUGCUUCUGCUUAAGUCAUGAGUGAGUGGGGCUGGAUGGGAAUGGCAGCCCAGCAGCAUCCACAGGUGGGAGAAGCAGCAUCCACAGGUGGGAAGAGCAGCAUCCACAGGUGGGAGGAGCAGCAUUCACAGGUGGGACAGCAGCAUCCACAGGUGGGAGGAGCAGCAUCCACAGGUGGGAGGCGUACCAUGCACAGGUGGGCUGACACUUCCAGAGGCUCAGGUGCUGACAGAUAUCUGUCCUGUAGGGCCUUCCCAAAUCUGAUUAAAACUUGUCUGGAAGACACAAAUCUUAUUAAACUGCAAGGACAAAAGUAAAAACAAAAUAAUAAUUAGGAAAGUGUCACUAGAGAGGACAUUAAAUUCCGCAGGAGUUGUCCCCAGUCCCGAUGAAUUUAGCUGCUGAGGAAG
This 428-nucleotide long non-coding RNA is filed under the name Sarcophilus harrisii (Tasmanian devil). RNAcentral describes it as "lncRNA (ENSSHAG00000028382.1)". The record is from RNAcentral. Lineage: Eukaryota; Metazoa; Chordata; Mammalia; Dasyuromorphia; Dasyuridae.